ACGGACACAAUCAAAAUUAAACAACAAUCACAAGCAAGUCAAGUUUCAUCUCUUAAUCUUACAAAAUCAAGUUCUACCGGCUCGUUCUACCCUUGGAAAGGCUCAAUUUGGUGGGGUGAUCCUUCAUUUCCCAUAACGACCGGAAGGGUCGUUACACCUCCGUAUGAAGGGAGGGCACGAUCGACUAUGAUGCCUAUUUAGUACUGUGGUUUUGUACUCAUACUAUCUUGUUGUACUCUUUCUAUGAGUGCAGAGUAUGCUGUUGGAGAGUCGUCUAUCCCUCGAGGCUGAUCCCGAGGCUUCCUGUCAAAGUUUCUAGGGUGAGCUUGCUUGAUGGAUUCUGCAGCCCAGAGAUUCUUCUGCUUACUUGUCUCUUCUAUUUUCGAGACAGUAGUUCUAUUUGGAGACAUGUUGAUUAUUCCAGACUUGUAUUAUUAGUCGCUCUUGUUCCAUUCAGAACAGAUUUGGGAUUGAUGUAUUUCCGCACUUGUAGUAUUUCCUAUUUAUGCUAGACCUAUUAUGUUAUUAUUAUUAGGUGUUGAAUUUACUGUAUUGCUAUUGGUUGUUGAUUAAGGGACGAGUUCGCCUACUGAGGUGAAAAUGGUAGGUGCCCGCGCGUUCCCUAUGUUGGGAUGUGACAUUAAUACUCAAUGUAUUAAUUAUUUUUUCUUUCAGAGUACCUAGGCUUACCUUUGAAUAUUGAUUAGCCAGCUUUUUUCUCGAUGCACCAUCUGUGUGAAAAUUGAUGAGGAAAUAGAACCAGAUGUGCAGAUUUCUUCCAACACUCCGUGAGUGUGUAGUUACAUUUGUCUUGUGUUUACUUGGGGGUUGAGACAACUUCAAUUGUAAUAGUCUAGAUGAUUUAGAGCAUGCUCAAACUCUAAGGUGGAUUUUUGUUUUUUCGACAUUCUAUUUUCUCUAAGACUGUAGUUGUUUUAAUUUUAUCGUAGAAACUAUAUAAGUUUUUAUUUAUGUCUUACUUAUCAA
Long non-coding RNA from Lycium ferocissimum, 987 nucleotides. RefSeq lists it as uncharacterized. The record is from RefSeq and is a predicted model, not a curated record. Lineage: Eukaryota; Viridiplantae; Streptophyta; Magnoliopsida; Solanales; Solanaceae. The transcript has 2 exons.